AUUGAACGCUGGCGGCAGGCCUAACACAUGCAAGUCGAGCGGAUGAAGGGAGCUUGCUCCUGGAUUCAGCGGCGGACGGGUGAGUAAUGCCUAGGAAUCUGCCUGGUAGUGGGGGAUAACGUCCGGAAACGGGCGCUAAUACCGCAUACGUCCUGAGGGAGAAAGUGGGGGAUCUUCGGACCUCACGCUAUCAGAUGAGCCUAGGUCGGAAUAGCUAGUUGGUGGGGUAAAGGCCUACCAAAGCGACGAUCCGUAACUGGUCUGAGAGGGUGAUCAGUUAAAAUGGGAACUAGAAAACGGUCCGAAUUCCAACGGGAGGCAGCGUGGGGGAAUAUGGGACAUGGGGCGAAAGCUUAAUCCGGCAUAGCGGGGGGGUGGAAGAAGGUCUUCGGAUGGUAAAGCACUUUAAGUUGAAAGAAAAGGAAGUAAUUUAAUACCUGGCUUUUUGAACGUAACCAACAGAAAAGGCACCGGCUAACUUCUG
Molecule: ribosomal RNA, 484 nt
Filed under: uncultured bacterium
Lineage: Bacteria
Description: partial 16S ribosomal RNA
Rfam family: Bacterial small subunit ribosomal RNA
Source: RNAcentral